This 540-nucleotide ribosomal RNA is filed under the name uncultured bacterium. RNAcentral describes it as "partial 16S ribosomal RNA". It matches the Rfam family "Bacterial small subunit ribosomal RNA", at positions 355 to 888 of the family's 1533-position model. The record is from RNAcentral.
UGGGGAAUUUUGGACAAUGGGCGAAAGCCUGAUCCAGCAAUGCCGCGUGUGUGAAGAAGGCCUUCGGGUUGUAAAGCACUUUUGUCCGGAAAGAAAUCCUUGGCUCUAAUACAGUCGGGGGAUGACGGUACCGGAAGAAUAAGCACCGGCUAACUACGUGCCAGCAGCCGCGGUAAUACGUAGGGUGCAAGCGUUAAUCGGAAUUACUGGGCGUAAAGCGUGCGCAGGCGGUUUGCUAAGACCGAUGUGAAAUCCCCGGGCUCAACCUGGGAACUGCAUUGGUGACUGGCAGGCUAGAGUAUGGCAGAGGGGGGUAGAAUUCCACGUGUAGCAGUGAAAUGCGUAGAGAUGUGGAGGAAUACCGAUGGCGAAGGCAGCCCCCUGGGCCAAUACUGACGCUCAUGCACGAAAGCGUGGGGAGCAAACAGGAUUAGAUACCCUGGUAGUCCACGCCCUAAACGAUGUCAACUAGUUGUUGGGGAUUCAUUUCUUUAGUAACGUAGCUAACGCGUGAAGUUGACCGCCUGGGGAGUACGGUCG